AUUGAACGCUGGCGGAAUGCUUUACACAUGCAAGUCGAACGGCAGCACGGACUUCGGUCUGGUGGCGAGUGGCGAACGGGUGAGUAAUGUAUCGUAACGUGCCCUGUCGUGGGGGAUAACGUAGCGAAAGUUACGCUAAUACCUCAUACGCACUGAGGUGGAAAGCAGGGGAUCGCAAGACCUCGCGCUAUACGAGGGGCGGAUGUCAGAUUAGCUAGUUGGUAGGGGAAAGGCCUACCAAGGCGACGAUCUGUACCGGGUCUGAGAGGAUGAUCCGUUACACUGGGACUGAGACACGGCCCAGACUCCUACGGGGGGCAGCAGUGGGGAAUUUUGGACAAUGGGGGAAACCCUGAUCCAGCCAUGCCGCGUGAGUGAAGAAGGCCCUCGGGUUGUAAAGCUCUUUCGGCUGGGAAGAAAUCGCACAGGCUAAUACUCUGUGUGGAUGACGGUACCAGCAUAAGAAGCACCGGCUAACUACGUGCCAGCAGCCGCGGUAA
RNAcentral lists this ribosomal RNA (500 nucleotides) under uncultured bacterium. Its description in RNAcentral is "partial 16S ribosomal RNA". It matches the Rfam family "Bacterial small subunit ribosomal RNA", at positions 30 to 523 of the family's 1533-position model. The record is from RNAcentral.